UACAGAGGAGGCGAGCGUUGUUCGGAAUCAUUGGGCUUAAAGCGCGUGUAGGCGGCUGCGUAAGUGUUCUGUGAAAUCCCGCGGCUCAACCGUGUGAAGUGCAGGGCAAACUGCGUAGCUUGAGGUCGGUAGAGGUGCCUGGAACUCUAGGUGGAGCGGUGAAAUGCGUAGAUAUCUAGAGGAACGCCUGAGGCGAAAGCGGGGCACUGGGCCGAAUCUGACGCUGAGACGCGAAAGCGUGGGGAGCAAACAGG
Molecule: ribosomal RNA, 254 nt
Filed under: uncultured bacterium
Lineage: Bacteria
Description: partial 16S ribosomal RNA
Rfam family: Bacterial small subunit ribosomal RNA
Source: RNAcentral